This 735-nucleotide long non-coding RNA is filed under the name Capsella rubella. RNAcentral's name for it is "long non-coding RNA (CRUB_LNC003540)". The record is from RNAcentral. Lineage: Eukaryota; Viridiplantae; Streptophyta; Magnoliopsida; Brassicales; Brassicaceae.
GGAAAUAUUUUUGUCGUUUUCAUUAUUAUUAUGGGGAAUACAUGUCAUAGUAAUAGCAAGUAUUGGGACUAGAGAUUGUAAACCGUUGCUUGCUACCAGUUGCAACAACAAGCAAUUUCAUAAGUAAGUUUUAGACAACCUCCUGAUACAUAACCUCGCAAGAUGCAGCUUUUACUGCAUGAAUUCUCGUGACAUGGGUAUGCCCUAUCAAAACAUGUAUUGCGAUUGUGACUUUGUCCUAAUUUAUCCAUUCAGAAAACCAUUCACAAAAUAAAUGUGUUAGUAAAACAUUAAUGAUCAAUGCAUGUAAAAUUCUGAUACAAAUGCAAAGAUCUUUGAAUAUUUUGACUCAAGUGGUAAAUUGUUCAUGAAUCUUUUAUCUCAAGAGAAUUGUUUAUCGGAUUAAAAUUCAUUUAUUUGCGAUUAAGAAGAUCUUGUUUAAAACAAAUAAAUAUAUUACCUGAAAUCACGGGCAACAUGACGAAAGCAAACAUCAUCAAUGAAAGUAACAUAAGACACGAAAACUUCUUGGUUGCCAUAACUUUUUGAGGAUGCAGCAACUUCUUUCAGAAUACUCUUCAAUCUCACAAACAAACAACCCUAUAGAAGAAAAAAAAACGAUUUCAAAAUAAAUGUUAGAAUUAAGAUGUUCUGGUAGUGAAAACAUUUUAACAAUUCAUACACGACUUCAACAUAUUUUAUAAGUCGAUUUACCUGUCUUUAUGAAAAUUUGCU